UUUAUCAGCCGCACCAUCAUGAACAAGCCCGAUCUCGUCUGAUCUCGGAGGCUAAGCAUGGUCGGGCCUGGUUAGUACUUGGGCUUGGGUAGAGGUGUUGGUGCGC
RNAcentral lists this ribosomal RNA (106 nucleotides) under Gadus morhua (Atlantic cod). The record is from RNAcentral. Lineage: Eukaryota; Metazoa; Chordata; Actinopteri; Gadiformes; Gadidae.